UUGCUUCAGCAGCACAUAUAAUAAAAUUGUAACAAUACAUAGAAGAUUAGCAUGGCCCUUGAGCAAGGAUGACAUGCAAAUCUGUGAAACAUUCCAUACUUUA
This is a small nuclear RNA of Molossus molossus (Pallas's mastiff bat), 103 nucleotides long. The record is from RefSeq and is a predicted model, not a curated record. Lineage: Eukaryota; Metazoa; Chordata; Mammalia; Chiroptera; Molossidae.